Molecule: ribosomal RNA, 517 nt
Filed under: uncultured bacterium
Lineage: Bacteria
Description: bacterial SSU rRNA
Rfam family: Bacterial small subunit ribosomal RNA
Source: RNAcentral
GAUGAACGCUAGCGGCAGGCCUAACACAUGCAAGUCGAGGGGCAGCACGUCUUCGGAUGGGUGGCGACCGGCGCACGGGUGCGUAACGCGUAUGCAACCUACCUCUUACAGUGGGAUAGCCCAGAGAAAUUUGGAUUAAUACCGCAUAGUAUACAGAUUCAGCAUUGGGACUGUAUUAAACAUUUAUGGGUAAGAGAUGGGCAUGCGUUCUAUUAGUUAGUUGGAGUGGUAACGGCACCCCAAGACAGCGAUAGAUAGGGGCCCUGAGAGGGGGACUCCCCCACACUGGUACUGGGACACGGACCAGACUCCUACGGGAGGCAGCAGUGAGGAAUAUUGGACAAGUGGGCGAGAGCCUGAUCCAGCCAUGCCGCGUGCAAGGAAGACCGGCCCUAGUGGGUUAGUAAACUGUCUUUUGGUACGGGAAAGAAACCACCCCCUCGUGAGGGGGCUUGACGGUACCGUAAGAAUAAGGAUCGGCUAACUCCGUGCCAGCAGCCGCGGUAAAGUCGUACGA